Molecule: long non-coding RNA, 979 nt
Organism: Sitophilus oryzae (rice weevil)
Lineage: Eukaryota; Metazoa; Arthropoda; Insecta; Coleoptera; Curculionidae
Exons: 2
Source: RefSeq, a predicted model, not a curated record
UUUAGACGUGGGUACCAUAGUUAGGUACCACCUCUGGUCUCUGGUACCACUACAGCAGAGAAGAACAACCGACCGCAGUAUACAAGAUUCAACAGAGAGUGGAGGACUGGGUAACAAUCUAAGAUGAGGUAAUUUGUUUUCUGCCUUAAUGGAAUACAACAAAUUUUGACACACCUACUAAUUUGGUAUGGUCCUAUAAUGGAUGUUAACAGAUAAAUUUAAAUAUCAUAUUUGAUGUUUGUAAAUUGUUAAAUAAAAUUUUGACUACACGAGUCUACAAAUUGACUACAAAUUGUUUGGUUUGGUUGUAACUAAAACUAUGCAGGUAUGUUCUUUGGUAAUUUAAAAUUUACAUGUGACGUUUAACUUUAUUAACUCAUAUAACAAAUAUUUUGAUUUUAUAUUACAUUUUAAGAUUAUUUUUGUUUGUAUAAAGAAUAAAAAUGUAGCAAUUAUCACUUCAAGUUAAAUUUAUUUGUCCUUUGAUUAAUAAUAAGUCACAACAAUUAUGUUCAUUAUUAAUAGAUUUAUAAUUUUAUUUUUUAUCUAUCUAUUUUUUGUCUAGGUAGUAUCAUAUUUUGAUUCAAUCAUUUUAUUUAAAGAAAAUGACACAUUUCUUUUAAUAUAAAGGGUGUUCCUUAAUGACAUGCUAAUUUUAGGGGCGAUUCUUGGGCCUAUUUAAAAAAAACUUUAUCCACGAUUCGUCUAUAAUUUGAUUAUUAUACAUGAGUUUAUGAAAUAAUAAUAAUAUUCAUUAUUCACUUGUGAAUAAUGGCUUCCACGGAUAUCUCGAUCCAAACUUCAAAUAAGAGCUGUCAAACAUUACCAUUAAUGUAAAUAAAUAAUUUGUUUUAAUUAGUUAAAGCUAAAUUAGUUAGCUACCUAGUUAAAGGAAAUUUCGAUGUUUUGUUUCCAUGUUACUUACUCGUUCAAUAUUUUUUUUUUGACAUUAAAAAUAAAAACUUUUAUUAAUAUUAUC